AAUCAACGCUGGCGGCGUGCCUAACACAUGCAAGUCGAACGCGAAAGUGGAGCAAUCCAUGAGUAGAGUGGCAAACGGGUGAGUAACGCGUGGGCGACCUGCCUUCGAGUGGGGGAUAACAUUCCGAAAGGGAUGCUAAUACCGCAUAACAUCCUUCGUUUAGAUACGAGGUGAUCAAAGCCGGGAGCAAUUCUGGCGCUUAAAGAGGGGCCCGCGUCCGAUUAGCAGUUGGUGGGGUAACGGCCUACCAAGGCUUCGAUCGGUAUCCGGCCUGAGAGGGCGGACGGACACACUGGAACUGAGACACGGUCCAGACUCCUACGGGAGGCAGCAGUGGGGAAUUGUUCGCAAUGGGCGCAAGCCUGACGACGCAACGCCGCGUGGAGGAUGAAGACC
RNAcentral lists this ribosomal RNA (396 nucleotides) under uncultured bacterium. RNAcentral describes it as "bacterial SSU rRNA". It matches the Rfam family "Bacterial small subunit ribosomal RNA", at positions 32 to 416 of the family's 1533-position model. The record is from RNAcentral.